Molecule: non-coding RNA, 1717 nt
Organism: Coturnix japonica (Japanese quail)
Lineage: Eukaryota; Metazoa; Chordata; Aves; Galliformes; Phasianidae
Source: RefSeq, a predicted model, not a curated record
UCAGCGAGUUCCCAUAAGCCAAGAGUUAAAUGCUGCUUCCAUGCCCUUUUAGCAUGGCAAUGCCUGCACAAAACUGUCUCCUGCAUUCCCCUCAAAAAAGGCAAAUGGAGAAUCUUACAGGAUCUAGUUCUCUUCCUGUCUUAAGAGAAAGCAAGCAAUGUGGGCAGCAAGAGAAGGCUCUAGACGUGUGACUGAUCUAAUUGCAAAUUCUAGUGCUGAGUUAGGAAAGCUCUCAGCUUAACUGUGCUUGCUUUCAAUUCUUUACGUCCUAUCGAGCUGAUGAACAAGAAUAAUAACAAAAGACUUGUAUGCUGCAUAAGGAGUGUAACUCCACACCGGUUUGAGCUAGACAAAGAUGUGAUUUCUCUUGCAGAAAUUGACAGAUGAUGUCUCAAACUAUACUGCUAGGAACUGAGGUUCACAAAGCUUGAUGUAUGUCUUCCCUGAGUGAGAAGCAUCACUUUUCUAGCAGAGUAGGAUUGUAUUUCAGGAUAGCACCGCUGUUGUUUUGGAAACUGAGAGAAUUAAUUUUCCAGUUGCUUCUAUUUGAUACUUCUGGUAAGAAUUCAAAUAUUAAGAGGUUAGCACUCAAACUGAACUCCCACAGUGCUUGCACACAGAGGCCAUGUGUGUUCUGUGCAGCAAACAGGCUUGGAAAAUAGACUAGAAAAAUGCAAUGAACUGCCUCAACACAGGUUCUCUGUAAAGAACUUCAGGUCCCCUUCUGUUAGUCCAGAAAUAGCUUGUGAAAUGAGAUGAUUGCUUACAACACUGAACAAAGAGUAACUGGGUAUUUUUGAUUUUCUCCUAAUCAGGCCAAAACUGGUUGCUGAAGGACAUAUCUAUGAGUGAGUGGGCUUACUCAGCUUGAUGGGGCCUGGACUGCCUGAACAAACAGGAAUGUAGAACCUAAUAUGAAUGCUCGUGCUGCUUCUGCCUACUUCUGUCUCUUCCUGUGUUAUUCCCAACUGCUUCACAGCUGAACUUUAUCUUCCUGAAAGCCUGGUCAUGUGCGUCCCUGAGCCCCAGCGGCCCUGCACGCUGCCUGAGAACAGGAGCCAUCCACGAAGCACAGGCAGAGGGAUGUUCUUAGCAUUGACUCUGACUCCGUGCUGGACUUUAGGCAAGAAGAGUAGUCAAGGAGGAACAGAAAUGGUGAGAGACUGAAUGUAUAAAGCUCGUAACUUAACGCUGUGCAGGUAAUUCAGGAACAAAUGUAGUAUGAAAGGAAUAACUUCAUGCAAAGAGCUUUACAGUCCCAUUCUGAAUCUGCUGCUGGCUUGCAGUAUCUGGCUACCUUCCCUAGAUAUGCCUCCACUUCACUGCCAUUAAAAGUGGAGAUAAUUCAUCUGUUGUAAACUCCACUGAGAUAGAAAGCCCAACAUGUGUUUCCUAAGCCAGAUCUGUCAUGAAGAAAGUGGUUAUUUAUAAAGUAAUUAGGAAGGAAAAAAAAAUAGUUGGCUAGGAAUCUGCUAAACCAUUUCAGUUUUGCGUUCAUUACUUCACAGAGCUCUAAAAAGGCUGCUUUUCUUUUGCAGCUUCCCCUUUUCAUUUACAUUUUGUGUCCUGAACAGAGUGGAGAAGGGGUAGUAUGAAAGGAUUACUGCUGUUCCUCCUCUGGCAUCACAAUGAACACCCUGCUGGAAGCCUUCUUCUGACACGGCUGCCUUGCCUCCCAGCAGCACAGCAGGUUAAUAAAGAUGAAAAAGAAAAGAAA